Non-coding RNA from Pluteus cervinus, 84 nucleotides. NCBI's taxonomy places the organism in Eukaryota, Fungi, Basidiomycota, Agaricomycetes, Agaricales, Pluteaceae. The record is from the annotation of a GenBank genome assembly.
GGGCACAUGGUGUAGUUGGUUAUCACAUCCGCUUAGCAUGUUAGCGUCUGCGGGGGGUGCUGGGUUCAAUUCCCAGUGUGUCCA